UGUGGCAGGUGCCUGUAGUCCCAGCUACUCAGGAGAAUGAGGCAAGAGAAUCACUUAAGUUCAAGAGUUUGAGGUUGCUAUAAGCUGUGAUGCCACGGCACUCUACUGAGGGCAACAUAGUAGGACUGCCUCAAAACAAACAGCAUGGUGCGGAGGUGUCAUCCAUCAGCUCCACUAGUUAUGCAGGCAGUGUGUGUCUUAGCGCGCCAACCACACAAGGCUCAUUCUCACCGCUGC
RNAcentral lists this small RNA (237 nucleotides) under Otolemur garnettii (small-eared galago). RNAcentral's name for it is "RNase MRP (ENSOGAG00000023406.2)". Lineage: Eukaryota; Metazoa; Chordata; Mammalia; Primates; Galagidae. The record is from RNAcentral.